AAUGUAGUAUCCAAAGAAGUUGAGGAAAUCCCACCCAAAAAUAAAAUACUUCGAAAAACUGUUGGAAUCAAAGAUGGAAAUGAGAAUACUACAAAAACAAAUCAAAAAUCAUUUUGUGAUACUGACAUUGAGAGUGACUGGGAAAGUAAUGUAUUUUUGCCUUCUAAACUUAACAAUUGCCAAAGGAGUAAGGCUGCAGGUAAUCAACGGGUUGAUAAAGUAAUUAAAAAUAAGAGUGCUGCAGUCAAUUCUUUGGCUAAAAAUAUUAAUGCAAACUGUCUAAAUGUUGAUGCAAUUAAAAAAACAGCAAACAAUUGUCAACCAUCAAUUUGGGAUACAGACUUUGAGAGUGAUCUAGAAAGUUUUGUAAUUUUGCCCAAAAAAACAGGAAACUGUAAAACAAAUAAUGCUACAAUUAACAAAAGUAAGUAAA
This is a long non-coding RNA of Papilio machaon (common yellow swallowtail), 433 nucleotides long. RefSeq lists it as uncharacterized. The transcript has 3 exons. The record is from RefSeq and is a predicted model, not a curated record. Lineage: Eukaryota; Metazoa; Arthropoda; Insecta; Lepidoptera; Papilionidae.